Octopus bimaculoides (California two-spot octopus) is the source of this 6320-nucleotide long non-coding RNA. Lineage: Eukaryota; Metazoa; Mollusca; Cephalopoda; Octopoda; Octopodidae. The record is from RefSeq and is a predicted model, not a curated record.
UAGACUCGGGUGAAAUUCCUUUCUCCCAUUUAUUAUAUAUAUGUGCAGGGAACAGCUAGCCUUUGACCUCUAUUUGAAUCCCAUUGUGUCAACUACUUCUGAUUGGUUGGUAUUGGCACAAUUUGUCUCUUACUUUGUUGCACCAACUUACCGCGUAUAAGAGGCUCUAAAUGGGAUCACAUAGGACAAUCUGUUUACAACCCUGUUUGAGCCUACAACUCCUUAUAAAAACUCAGAUUUUCCUCGUUCCAAAGUCUUUGGUUCCAGACUUUUUAAGGUCUAGCCACUGACCACAAAGACACAGUCAGUUCCAGCAACAAUGCCAGCCAGACAACACCACCUUACAUUGAGACUUACCAACUUAGUCCAAUAGCAUUAUAGCAGUCUCCAUCUACAUCGUCAACAUCAUCUUUCUACACAGCUCAGCAAGCGAUUCACCCACAUUCCAACACAAUUCCCCUUUAUUGUAUCAGCCGUACGAUGUGGUACUAAAGAGCCAUUCUCGUCACCUUACAUCGCACGGCCCUUACACACUGAUACAGUGUAAUCUUUAUCUAUCGUCAGCAAUAUCAACCGUACUAUGAUACUGGAGGCAUAAGGAUAUAACAUCUGGCGACAAGGAUUUUUCGAAGCUCACUUAGGUAAUUUGAUAAUUUGUGCAUCAUACAAAUUGCUAAAUUAUGGAGAAUCUAUUAGCUGCAGUAAUACAGCUUCAAGAGAAGCAACAGGAACAACUACAGGUGUUACAGAAGCAAAUAUUACAACAACAGUUAAUUGAGUUACAGUCAAGGAAGUGCGAAAAUUCGGUAAGUUCGUUUACGUUAGACAGCGUGACAAACUCGAUUUCUAGUCAGAUGAGGAAAAAGUAAGGCUAUUACUACACAUGGUAGCUCUGGCUGAGCAUGAAUGCUACUGUAACUUUUUAUUACCCAAAAUGUCGAGUGAGACUGGUUUCCAAGAAACGAUUGAAUUACUAUCAAAAAUCUUUUGUGACAAAAGUUCGUUAUUUAACAUUUGAAUGGAGUGUUGAAACUUAACAAAAAAUGACGAUAAUGACUUUAUUACUUAUGCCAGAGCAGUCAACCAUAUGUGUGAAAACUUUAAACUUCAGGAACUCGCUCAGGAUAUGUUUAAAUCUCUUAUCUUCAUACAAGGCCUUAUGGCAACCGAAGAUAGAGAAAUUUGGGCAAAGAUUCUCUCAAAAAUAGAGCAAGCAAACCAAGACUUAAUCCUACAGACCGUUGCAGAAGAAUGUCAAAUAAUGGUUAACCUGAAGCACGACAUGAAAAAAUUCAAGAGAAAGAUUCCGCAGAUGUGUCAACCCGGAAAGUACAACCAAAAAAGAGUGCCAGGCCCCAAUCCAUGUUACAGAUGUGGAGGCCUACACAUCAGAAAAGAGUGUCUGUUUAAAAGUUGAAAAUGCUAUAGUUGUCAGAAACUUGGUCACAAGAGUUCACACUUCAGGACAAGAUUAUGAAGGUUGAAUGCAAAAAGUUCUAAAGUGUUUUCAGCAGAAAGUGAAUGCGACACAAAAACAAGAAAAUUCGUACACAUAAAAAUGAAUGGUGUAAAUAUUAAACAGCAGUUUGAUAUGGGUAGUGAUAUUUCAAUCAUAAAUGCGGGUACAAGGAGAAAAAUUGGGAAACCGAGGUUACGUAAAACAGCAAAAAUUGCACUUGGUGUGAUGGGUGAUAAAUUACAUUUCAUGGACAUCACAUUUCAAGGAGAAACACAUGAAGCAAAAAUAUUCAUUGUGGAGAAUACAAUCAAUCCGUAUGAUACAAAUUGGUUGGAGUUAUUUGGCACUUCCCCAUAAGUCUCUACUGCAAAAACAUAAAUGGUUGUCUAGUUAAAAAUAAAUCAUUUGAGGAAUUGAAGAGAAAAUUGAAAAAAAUGUUUCCUCAAGUACUAUCAGAGGACUUAGGUCUAUGUAAAAAGACUGAAGCCUGCUUUCAAGUAACUGAAAAUGCUGUACCUGUAUUUAAAUCUAACAGAAAAAUACCGUUCGUGGCAAUUGAAAUUAUAAAUGAAGAGUUGGACAGACUGAAAAUUGGGAGGCGCCAACGGUGUGCAUUAAAAAGAAAAAUUAUAAGAUUUCUCUACAAGAUCGAACGAUUGCUUAAAGACAUGCCACCAUCCACUCCCGACUCCAAAGUCGGGAUUUUGCAAUCCCUUAUUUGGAUGAUAUAUUAAGAGUAAUUCGUGUGAACAGCAUGUGGAACACAUAAAAGCUGUGUUCAAGAAAAUUAAAGAGUACAGGUUCACUUUGAGUGAAGAAAAGUGCAAAUUGUUUUUGCCUCAAAUUAAUUAUUUUGGGCAAAUAGUUGAUAAAAAUGGUAGUCAGCCUGACCCAUCAAGGGGAGACGCAAUGAAGAAUAUACUUGCUCCGACAAAUAUACCAACAUUACAAGCGUUUCUUGGGUUGACAAACUUCUACCAAAACUACAUUCCUAACAUGCACAAAUUAAAAGCUCCAUUGAAUGACUUAAUAAAAAGGGAAGUAAAGUGGAAUUGGUCAGUUAAAUGUCAAAACGUGUUUGAAGAAAUAACAAAAAUUCUAAUUGCAGAUUUGUCUCUAGUGCAUUUCAAUCCUGAAAUGGACAUUGUUGUAGCAUCUGAUGCUUUGGAGUACAGAAUAGGAGCAGUUUUGCUACACAAGUAUAAGGAUAGAAGUACAAAACCAGUGAUUCAUGUUUCAUGCUCACUGAUAGUGGCAGAGAAAAAAUACAGUCAGAUAGAAAAAAGAAACCCUAUCGACCAUUGCUAUCAAUUUAUGGAUCAAAGAAAGAGUUAUCUACCCAUACAGCGAACUGACUACAAUGUUGGGGUAUAAUAAUUACUAAAUUACAAUUUCAAAAUGCAGUAUAUUCCAUCGAAAAAAGUUGGUCAUUUCGACUGUCUAUUGAGACUAAUUCCCAAAAAUACAGAACCACUAGAAGAUACCAUGAUAGCUGCACCACAGACAGAAAAUGAAACAAAAAGUACUAUAACUAAUGUUAUCCAAGAACUGCCAGUGACUGCACAGGAUAUAAGAAUGAAAUCUGUAGACGACGAGUACAUAAACAAAAAUGAAAGAAGCUUUAAAAAAUAAGCAGAAUAAAAAUACAAAUUCAAGUAGUUUCUCAAUAGGCAACGAUAUUCUGAUGUAUGUACAAGGAAUUGUAGUACCGACUACAUUACAAAAAUGUGUGUUGCAGCACUUCCACAGAUCAGACAUCUGGAAAUAUCGAGGAUGAAAGCACCGAUGAGCUACAUUUAUUGGCCGACUAUGGACUGGGAUAUCGAAAAUUUGGUGAGAACUUGUUGAGGUUGCAUGCUCGUGGCCAAAGCCCUACCAGUAAAAUAUCAAUCAUGGCUAGAGACUGAGAACCUAUGGUCUAGGUUACAUAUCAACUAUGACAGACCGGUGAAUGGUACUUACUUUCUAAUCAUGGUAGAUAGCUGUACAAAGUGGCCAGAGGUAUGCAGGUGCAAUAAACCAACCACUAAGACAACUAUAAAGUUCCUAUAUGAAUUGUUUGCGUGAUACAGUGUUCCAGACAUGUUAGUUUCUGAUAAUGGAACACAAUUCUCGACAGAGGGGUACCACCUUGGUGUACUAUUAUAGAGGGCUGGUACAGGGCAAGUGUGAUGACAGCCUGGGGGAGACUCUGGGUUUCGAUGAAAGUCAGCUUGCCAACCUGCAUUGAAGGACUUUCGGCCCAGGACCUAUGGACAACUGCCAGAGGUCCCCAGCUUGACUGUGCUUCCAAAGUGCCUUGUCAGUUCUGGAUAAACUUGUGAGGCACAGCGUCACCUUUUGCCUACAUGCCCACAUUACGGACAGAGCAAUGAAACUGUUCUGUACGCAAUUGUACAGUUUAUGAGUCUCUCGGACCUGUGGGUUUCUACCGACCUAUAGCGAAAGAGGUGAUAUGGAAGAGGUAUUGUAUCAGGCACCUUCGUCUCCGGGCAUGCUUUGGUCAACCUCUUUUUAUAUCACCUAAGAGGGAAAGCAUGUCUGGAGAAGAAAUGCCUGACGGCAAAAAAGUACGAAAGAAGAUGGAAGAAAGUAGCCCCAAUGUUGGGUAUGUAAGUGCCAAAUUAAGUAGAGCAUAAAAAAAAAAGGGUAAAGUAAAUGGUUCAAUACAGGAAUGUGGUUGGUGGGGUCAAACCCAUUCCACGUCCAUUCAUUUUUUGUUUCCCAUUGCUCAUCCAAAAUUAUAAUAUAUUUAUUCAUGUAAUAUCAUACAAUAAGUCUCCGACCCCAUUUGUCCCUUGUAUUGUCCCCUCUGUUUAACCCUUGUGGUUUUAAUAAAAUCAUCAUAGUUUGGUCAUCGUCUUGUUGAUAGUUGUUGAACUGCUGUCUUUGCGCAGAACACAUGUUUGCCGUCUUGUGGUAUUCUUCGACAUCUUCCCUCUUCUUUGAUAGGGGAAAGUCAUAGGUUCAUACCUUCAUGAUGGAAUACAAAGGUUUGAGUUCUUCUUAUUUAGACUUUAUGUCAUCUGAGGAAGAGCUGGUUAAAUGUCUGAAGAGAAUAGACGAAGCAAUGGAGGUGAAGAAUUAUACAGAGGCAGUGAAAGAGAAAAGCGAAAAGAAAUGCCAAAGAAAUUUUAAAAGAAAAAAAUGAAAAAAACAAUAUUCACAGGACAAUAUUCAUAGGCGCAGGAGUGGCUGUGUGGUAAGUAGCUUGCUUACCAACCACAUGGUUCCGGGUUCAGUCCCACUGCGUGGCACCUUGGGCAAGUGUCUUCUACUAUAGCUUCAGGCCGACCAAAGCCUUGUGAGUGAAUUUGGUAGACGGAAACUGAAAGAAGACCGUCGUAUAUAUGUAUAUGUAUAUAUAUGUGUGUGUGUUUGUGUGUCUGUAUUUGUCACCCUAACAUCGCUUGACAACUGAUGCUGGUGUGCUUACGUCCCCGUAACUUAGCGGUUCGGCAAAAGAGACCAAGAGAAUUUUUACUAGGCUUACAAAGAAUAAGUCCUGGGGUCAAUUUGCUCGACUAAAGGCGGUGCUCCAGCAUGGCCGCAGUCAAAUGACUGAAACAAGUAAAAGAGGACAUACUCAUCAACAACAAGGAAAAUUGAAAUCAUGUUGACCGCUCAAGUCAUUAUUAAAACCAAUCUGGUAAGGGAUUUUUUACCUUGCCAGGGGAAGAAAGUUUGGAACGGUGGAGGUGCAGUUCCAGGAGGUAGCUAUUGCUAGGCUGCACUCAGCAAUACCCUUAAAAAUGGAUGAAGUCGUGCUUCUACCCAUAUACUUUGGGAGACAUGCUUCCAGAGUUGGGGUAGAAGACAUACCCCCAAAAAUUGAUAUAGCCUGGCUAGCAGCUGCCAAUACUGCUGGGCACGGAAGAGAAGAUAGUGGUCCUCCAGUCCACCAGAACACCCCAUAAGAACUGGCUAGGGCAGAGCCUAGAUAUGAUAAUCCAGGCGGCUCUGGAAAACCUUGAAAACAUGGUUGAGACCAUCACAGUCAAAGAGGUGAUACUCAGGGUCAAAGUAGAAGGCAGGAUCCCACAGACUAAAGAGGAACCCGAAAUCAGGAAGGAAAUUGCAACUUCAACACUGACAAAAACCAGUACCAGCGCCGAGGAAGAGGAGGUGAACAAGGAAAAGAAUGGAUGGGAAAUGACUGGAAAAAAAAGAAGGGAAGGGAAAAAGCAUACUUUGUAAAUGAUGACUCCCAUCCCACACCCACCUGCCUCCCACCCACACCCACUCUACCCCAACCUCCCCCUACAGACACCAACCCUCUCCAUGCCCCACCUGAUACAAAGACAAGCACAAGCACACAGGAGCCCCAAACUUCCCCACCCUUGCCCUGUAAGAAAAAAUAUGUUAUACUGUACAACAGACAAAAUGAAAAACUUCAUAAUAAGAUAGACUCAUGGGACAAAGUGGUAAAAGUGAAUAUAACGGAAUUUAGGGGAUUGCCUGAGUACUUUCAGUGUGCGAUGGCAGAUCCAGAGUAUCUUUUGAGAGUAAAGAAUUAUGAGAAGGACUUUGAGUGGUGGGUCAAGAAAAUAGACACCAGCACAAUACCAGAACGGGUUCAAUAACUAAAGUACCACUUUUGAGUCCAUUUCUCUUCUCUCGUUAUUUUUCACUUUCGUCCUGGAAGAAAUUGGUUUUGUUCAUAAAAUGGCAAGAGGGAUGAUAGACUCCAGCAAGUUUUAAAAUGCCCAAGUAUGUCACAAUGGUAACCCUCAUAACUCCAUUAGGAAAUGAGAAAAGGACGAAUUGUGUUGUGAGAAUAAUUUAUUUAUAAUAUCCUUAUUAGUGUUAACACAUUAUCUUAAAGAUAGUUCAUUAGCACAAAUAAAAUUUUGUAUGUGGA